Molecule: long non-coding RNA, 2399 nt
Filed under: Triticum aestivum (bread wheat)
Lineage: Eukaryota; Viridiplantae; Streptophyta; Magnoliopsida; Poales; Poaceae
Description: long non-coding RNA (TAES_LNC021933)
Source: RNAcentral
UCGCAUAACACAAUGACUGUCACUAUGCUUUUCUACCGGAGAAAGAUGCACACAUUUGAGUAUUUCUGUUAGCCAUCUUGGUAAACAAAUGUUUGUUGUUUCCUUUGUUUAUUUCCAUUGGCAAAACAUUGCUUAUCAAUGAUUGGAACUAUGCUUCCAGCAGUAUCACUUGCCAUGAUGAGCUACACCAUUGAUUCUUAUUUUGUGUACUUGUCAAGGCUGCUAUCUCAUUUUGUCACUUCCCUUUUGUAGUCUUUUGUAUGCCUUGCUUUCGGUACUAUACUCUCCAGCUGCCUUUUGUAGUGUGCUACUUGGUUUUCGGUCCCUUUCUUUGUCAAUGACUUGCCCUAAUUAUUACCAAUGAUAUUUAGACUUGUGGGAUGUGUUGCUUUGUAUAUGAACAACUUGUUGUAAUCCCGAUCCUGUAUCAUUCCUUUUUACUCGUAUAGGUUUUGUUUUCUACAACCUCUGUUUGCAUUACAACUUCGAAGUAGAUAGGAUGUGGUAUGAUUACAAUUACGAUUUAGCACUGAUUGCGUGGGUAUGGCAAAGGCGACAACAAUUUUUAGUAUCACCCUUUUUUGAUUUUUAUGUCAUGUUGAUUACAUCCGGUCAUUGCAUUCACUGGGAGGAGACAUUGCGCUAUGCAUGACACCCAGUCUGGCCAGCCUUUGCAACUGUCAGCAACCUAUUUGUUCUUCUCCUUAGCCAGACCCGAUUCUUCGACUGGUUUAACUUGCAUAGUAGUUCUGUUUAGAUUACAGUUUUAGAUUCCUCCACUCUUUGCUAUGAUUAGGUUAAUUUCUAACAAAUGGGAUGAUGAUCUGGAUGAAUACUAUUUCGGUAUUGCUACCAUUAUGGUUCCACUCAUGAAUAAUUGAAAAUAACUGGAUGAUCCAUCGCAAGCAAUCGUUCUAAUUCCUAUUUGGCAACCUUGAAUAGCCCGAUGUGUUUCGAUUUGGUAGGCUUGGUUCCCUCCCUAAUUGUGUGCAUCAUCAUGGUGUUUGCUUGUUGUUCUAAAGUUUCAACUGCAUGGCUACUAUUGGGUUGGCUUCUUAUAAGUUAUGGGAGAGAGUGAGAGUGUGGGCUUGGUCACGGAGAUCUCUUUUAUUUAUUUGCUGGUACCUGAUAGUUUUUCAUGUUCCCUUGUGAGAUCUUAGUGAAAAUAAUGAUUUUAUUUGCUGUGCGGGCGGGCGGGUGCAGAGAAGAAGAACCUCAACUCGGAGCUCUUGUUUCUUCUCAGUAUAUAUGUACAGAUUAUAAAUAUAAUAAAUAUAUGUGUCCUUUUUUCCUCUUUCUCUCCUCUGGUUUUACCGCCGAACUGGGUGGCCUUGAUGAAUGAUGUUGGCUUAUUUUAGAGAAAAUCUUUCUAAAUAAAUACUUGAUAAAUGAUGUUGGUUUAUUUUAGAGAGAAUCUUUCUAAGUGAAUAUACACUGAAAAGAGGUUUCAAUUUCUUAAUAGUACAUGUUCAAAUUGUUGUUGUAUGUGACCUUAGAUAGAAGGAUGUGCACUUGUGAUUAUCCCUUUCCCUUUUUGUAUCAGAGCUUUGUGCUAAAAAACUGCUUUGGUGCCGAGACAAUUACCUUGCAAUAUUAAUCUUGGCUGAAAUUGUGCACCUUUACUAGAUCAAUCAUGUUUGUCAGUGUUAAAUAAUUAGGCACAUAAUAAGAUGAGAUCAUAGUGUAAUCAAGUUUUGUGCCUAAAGAAAAUCUUGGAGGAUAUCUAUGUAUAGUAGGCUUAUUAUGUUUUCUGGGUGCCUUGUGGAAUACUAAGAUAAAAUAAAUUUAAUUUCAUUUUUAUAUUCUUUUAUGUUAAAGAGGCUACUUUGUAUCCAGAUCACUUAAUAUUAUCCAAAGUGAUUCUCUUUCAUACAGACCAAAUUAGUUCCUCGCUGUCCAUGAGACGCACUAUUUGAAUAGUUUGCCUAACAUGACAUGUCCUUUAGCAGAUCCAUGCGUUGAAACAUGCAAGCAAAUCAAAUGAAGGAGUGUGGACAAAGUUAUAUAUCAAGCAAAUCGGAUGAAGGCGUGUGGACAAAGUUAUAUAUCUAACAGUCAACCAUGUAGUUUACUAUUAUGCAGUAUGAAAAACAGUGUAAACAAGUUAUCUGAGACUAAUACUGCUAUGGCCUGCUUUUGGUUUCUAUCAUACCAAAACCUUGCUUAGGUAUUUCAUGUCACAUUUUAUAACAAAUGCGCUGAUGGCAUGUAGAUAGGGCCAUUUUUAGAUAUUUUACAUGGUGAUUACUGUUGUGAGUAUCUACCAACACCUACUCUUUGAGUAAUAUCAGAUAUAUUUCUAUCCUGAGAUAUAGAGUAAUAUCAGAUGUUAAUCGGAAAAGAGUUAUAUCAGAGGUUUGAUCAUUGAACUUUUUUUAUUCCAUCCUGAUUAAGUUGUC